RNAcentral lists this transfer RNA (95 nucleotides) under Bacillota bacterium. Its description in RNAcentral is "Firmicutes bacterium (anaerobic digester metagenome) tRNA-Ser". It matches the Rfam family "tRNA". From Rfam's summary of the family: Transfer RNA (tRNA) molecules are approximately 80 nucleotides in length. Their secondary structure includes four short double-helical elements and three loops (D, anti-codon, and T loops). Lineage: Bacteria; Bacillati; Bacillota. The record is from RNAcentral.
GGAGAGAUGGCCGAGCUGGUCGAAGGCGGUCGCCUGCUAAGCGAUUAAGCGGGUCAAAGCUCGCUUCGUGGGUUCGAAUCCCACUCUCUCCGCCA